UUAAAUUGAAGAGUUUGAUCAUGGCUCAGAUUGAACGCUGGCGGCAGGCCUAACACAUGCAAGUCGAGCGGAAACGGCAGUAU
RNAcentral lists this ribosomal RNA (83 nucleotides) under Salinivibrio sp. VYel7. RNAcentral's name for it is "partial 16S ribosomal RNA". It matches the Rfam family "Bacterial small subunit ribosomal RNA", at positions 1 to 81 of the family's 1533-position model. The record is from RNAcentral. RNAcentral also lists the same sequence under 5 other names. Lineage: Bacteria; Pseudomonadati; Pseudomonadota; Gammaproteobacteria; Vibrionales; Vibrionaceae.